UUUCUUAGUAGAUAUUAGCUUUUAUUUACUAAGCUUAUGAUUAACUUAGUUUAAAUUCUUAAAACUAAAACUUUAAAACUUUAAGUUAGCUUAAGUAUAAUCAAAGCAUCGACACCAGUCAUACUCUAAGAGGGCAUUGCAAAUUCAAAACCUUUUACAAUGUUAUGUAUGUUUCUAGUUGGUUUCAACUUGUGUUUUAUUAAAUACGCAAUUUUAGAAAUACAUUCUUGCAUUGUAUGUCAAAAUUUAACAUCCUAUGUUUAUGAAGAAAGUCAUAGUUUGAAACCUUCAAAUCUCAAGAAUUUAUUAAAGCUUUCUCUUCCAAAAGAUGUAUGUUUGCAACCAGAUAAACAAGCUGCAUUUAAAUUGAAACAUUUUGAACAAGUAUAUGAUGAUAAAAAUUCAUGGUUAUCAUAUGUUGCAUAUUUUUCAAAAAAAGUUAAAUCAAUAUUUUCUGAAGAGUGUCUACUAUGUUCAAAGAAAAAAAAGAUUUUAUCUGUUCAUUGCAGUAAUCCUUUUUAUUCAGACGCUCUAACAAAGUUAAUUUAUGGUUCUUCAGUUAAAUUUAAUUUAAAAGAUACUAUGUGUUAUAUACCUCAAAGUGCUAAAAACUCUAAAAAAAAGCAUUCAAGCAUGUUAGUGAAUACUUUUGAUUUAAAUAAAGUAGGUUCAAUAGAUAGAUAUUUAAAACAAUUGACAAGCAACUCACUAAAUUCUUUAAAAACAUUGAAAAACAACACAUUAAAAUGUUUUAAAAAGAUAACUGAUAGCUCAAUAAACAGCAAAAAUAUAAGAUUUACCCCAAUAUUAAAUCAUUCUUCUGCAUUUGAUGUUUGCACAAUAUCUCAAAACAAAAAAAUAUCUUAUUUAAAAAAGAAUAACAAGAUGAAACUCAUUGACUUCAAUUUGACCUCUGAUCUAAGUCAUUUAAAGAAAUCUGCAACAAUGAAGGAUUAUUACAUUCAUCUAAAAAAAUCUGCAACAAGGAAGGAUUACAUUCAUCUACAAAAAUCUGCAAGGUUGAAUGAUUAUAAAAAUAUGAUGACAAAUUUCAAAUUUAAAACUAUAAAAUUUGAAAAGUUAGAUAAAGAAAAAUUAAAAGAUUCAUGCAUACCCAAUGUUUGUUUUAUCAACGAAAGCUGGAGUUGUUUAUUAACAGACUUAAAAUCUUUUUCUCUACAUAAUACGUCUUUGUCCUCACUAGUUCACUUUCGCCAAAAUAAUAUAUCUUUAAACAAUAAUAUCAGCAACCAAAAUAUAUCUCUAUCACAUGAUAUCUACCAAAAUAGUUGCAUUGAUGAUAGUAUUCCGAAAUUCGAUUUAAAAAAUAUAAAUGCUGGAAUGUUUGUUAAAAAUGUAUCUCUUCUUAAAAGAAGACUUACAUACAAAUAUAUUUAUAAAUUUAUUUCUUGGAAUAAAGUUUACAUACAAAGAAUGAAAAAACACGAUAAAAAAGUAUUAAUUACAGGUGAUACCAUCAAUGGAUUUUUAAUUAUCUUGCUGCUAAACUUUAUUAUAACAUUUAGGAAAACCAAUCCAGCUAAAAAAAUCCAUGAAACAACAUUAGUAGGCAAGUUUGUUGAAAAAAGUUAUUACCAUGAACAAAAAGCUGAAAAGUUUGAAGAACCUUUACGAAAGUUAGAUUGGAGAAAAUUCGAUUUAGAACUUUUGGUGGCAAUAGUUGAAAUUAGUAAUAUAACUCCCAGAGAAAGUUAACCAUUCUUUAGUUACUGAAGAGAGUUAACCAUCCUUUAGCUCCAGAAGAAAGUUAACCAUUCUUUAGCUCAUGAAGAGAGUUAACCAUCCUUUAGCUCCCAAAGAAUCCCAAUUAACCAUCCUUUAGCUUUUGGAGAAUGUUAAGUAUUCCUUAGAGAACAUCAAACAAUCCUCUAAGGGUAGAUUAAGAAUCAACAAUCAUGAAAAAAAUAUUGCAAUAAUAAACUAUAGUAUUAAACAAAAUAUUCUGCACAAUAUGACAAAAAAACAAAGCAACAACAUAGAAAGAAUUGUUAGAAAAUGUAGAAAGAAUUGUUGAAAAAUGUUGAAAGAAUUGUUACAAAAUGUCAAAAAAAUUGUUAGAAAAUGUUGAAAGAAUCGUUAGAAAAUGUUGAAAGAAUCGUUAGAAAAUGUUGAAAGAAUCGUUAGAAAAUGUAGAAAGAAUUGUUGAAAAAUGUUGAAAGAAUUGUUACAAAAUGUUGAAAGAAUUGUUACAAAAUGUUAAAAGAAUUGUUAGAAAAUGUUGAAAGAAUCGUUAGAAAAUGUUGAAAGAAUCGUUAGAAAAUGUUGAAAGAAUCGUUAGAAAAUCAUUCUAAAAGUAAAAUAUCUAGAGCAAGUUGGUUUUGUUUUACCAGAUUUAACAAGAAAUCAUGUUUCCAUCAUUGCAUGUUUUCUUUUAAACUUAAAAAAAAUUGGCUUGUUUGUUAUCAGUAAUGGUAUUAAACUAAAAAUUUUAAAUAUUACAUGAAGAUAAAUACAAUCAAAUUGUUGAAUUAAAAUGCACAUAUCAUAACAGUUUAACCUAUCUAUUUAAGUUAUCAAGGGUGUUUUAAAACAAUAUAUAAAGCUGUUUGUUUGUUGUUUUUUUUUUUUUUUUUUUUUUUUUUUUUUUUGAGCUUUGAUUGAGUAGUAAUUAAGUUUACUAGGUCUUGGUUUUAGUUUAUUUCUAGAUCUUGGUUAGAAUCUGUAUAUUUAUAAGAACUAAAUGUUUAACAAAAAGUAAAUAUUUUGAUGGUUUUAUUGCAAAAUGCUAGCUAUUAUAAUUCGUUUUUUGAGAAUGAUUUCUUGUUUUGUAAGUAUUUUUUAUUUAAUCUAAAAAUAAUUUUUAUUUAUUUAAAGUCACACAUUUCUUGAAUCCUAAGCAAUGUUUUAGCUUUUUUUUUUUUUUUUAAUUUCAAAAUACAUAUUGCUUUUUGGUAGGAUGUUUGUUUUUAUAUAUUUUUUAAAAUUGUAUUAGAAUGUGUUAUCCUUGCACACAGUUUUAGCAAAAAAUAGAAGUUUUUAUAGGCUUAAAUUAUUUCAUCUCGUUCCUAAAUUGUUUUUGGUUUUUUCUUAUGAAAAUGGCUUUACGUUGUCAACGACUUUUUUCUAACAGGAAGUUUAACUUUGUAAGUAUGUUGUCACCAUUUUGCUCUGCUGUUAUUGAUGUUGUCCACGAACCAAAAAAUAAUCGGUUUGUGAUACAUUUAGAUAAAGGUGAAUGUGUACUAGAUUAUUUAAUGAC
Molecule: long non-coding RNA, 3220 nt
Organism: Hydra vulgaris (swiftwater hydra)
Lineage: Eukaryota; Metazoa; Cnidaria; Hydrozoa; Anthoathecata; Hydridae
Source: RefSeq, a predicted model, not a curated record